CUUUUGAGUAUAAUUUAAGGUCUAGCCUGCCCAAUGAUAAGAUUAAAUGGCCGCGGUNUCUUAACCGUGCAAAGGUAGCAUAAUAAUUAGUUUUUUAAUUGAAAGCUUGUAUGAAAGGUUGAAUGAAAAAAUCACUGUCUCUGUUUAAAUUUAUUAGAAUUUUAUUUUUAAGUNAAAAAGCUUAAAUAUAUAUAGAAGACGAGAAGACNCUAUAGAGUNUUAUACUUUUUUUUAUUUAGUNNUUUAGAAUUUUAAUUUUAUAUAGAAAAUAGUAUUUAAUUGGGGUGAUUAANAAAUUAGAUAAACUUUUUUUUAUAWUAAACAUUAAUUAAUGAGUGUUUGAUCCUUUAUUNRAGAUUAAAAGAUAAAAUUACNNUAGGGAUAACAGCGUAAUUNUUUUUGAGAGUUCUAAUCGAAAAAAAAGAUUGCGACCUCGAUGUNGGAUUAAAAUAAAUUUUUGGUGUAGAAGC
This 470-nucleotide ribosomal RNA is filed under the name Dorytomus filirostris. Its description in RNAcentral is "partial 16S ribosomal RNA". Lineage: Eukaryota; Metazoa; Arthropoda; Insecta; Coleoptera; Erirhinidae. The record is from RNAcentral.